This 1448-nucleotide ribosomal RNA is filed under the name metagenome. RNAcentral's name for it is "bacterial LSU rRNA". It matches the Rfam family "Bacterial large subunit ribosomal RNA", at positions 1464 to 2925 of the family's 2925-position model. The record is from RNAcentral.
AAAGGGGGACGGAGAAGGCUAGCCAAGCCAGAUGUUGGUUACUGGUCCAAGCGUUCGAGGCGUUGAGAACCGGCGAAAACGGUUUGAGCUGAGGCGUGAGUGCGAGCUGCUACGGCAGCGAAGUUGGUGACGUCAAGCUUCCAAGAAAACCCCUAUACCCGUUAAGGCAUCAUGGCCUGUACCCGAAACCGACACAGGUGGGGUGGUAGAGAAUACCGAGGGGCGCGAGGUAACUCUCUCUAAGGAACUCGGCAAAAUGGCCCCGUAACUUCGGGAGAAGGGGUGCCACCGCAAGGUGGUCGCAGUGAAGAGGCCCAGGCGACUGCUUACCAAAAACACAGGUCUCCGCUAAGUCGCAAGACGAUGUAUGGGGGCUGACGCCUGCCCAGUGCCGGAAGGUUAAGGAAGCUGGUCAGCGCAAGCGAAGCUGGCGACUGAAGCCCCGGUGAACGGCGGCCGUAACUAUAACGGUCCUAAGGUAGCGAAAUUCCUUGUCGGGUAAGUUCCGACCCGCACGAAAGGCGUAACGAUCUGGGCGCUGUCUCGGGGAGAGGCUCGGCGAAAUAGAAUUGUCUGUGAAGAUGCGGACUACGUGCACCCGGACAGAAAGACCCUAUGAAGCUUUACUGUAGCUUGGUAUUGUGCCCGGGCUCUGAAUGCGCAGGAUAGGUGGGAGGCUUUGAUCAUCGGCUUGCGGGUCGAUGUGAGCCAACGGUGAGAUACCACUCUUUCAGAGCUAGGGUUCUAACAGUCACCCGUUAUCCGGGGACUGGACAGUAUCAGGUGGGCAGUUUGACUGGGGCGGUCGCCUCCUAAAAGGUAACGGAGGCGCGCAAAGGUCUGCUCAGGCUGGUUGGAAAUCAGCCGACGAGUGUAAAAGCAGAAGCAGGCUUGACUGUGAGACCUACAAGUCGAACAGGGAGGAAACUCGGCUUUAGUGAUCCGACGGUUCUGCGUGGAAGGGCCGUCGCUCAACGGAUAAAAGUUACUCUAAGGAUAACAGGCUGAUCUCCCCCAAGAGUUCACAUCGACGGGGAGGUUUGGCACCUCGAUGUCGGCUCAUCGCAACCUGGGGCUGAAGUCGGUCCCAAGGGUUGGGCUGUUCGCCCAUUAAAGCGGUACGCGGGCUGGGUUCAGAACGUCGUGAGACAGUUCGGUCCAUAUCCGGUGCAUGCGCAGGAAUAUUGAGAGGAGUUCUCCCUAGUACGAGAGGACCGGGAGGAACGCACCUCUGGUGUACCAUUUAUCGUGCCAACGGUAAACGCUGGGUAGCCAUGUGCGGAGAGGAUAACCGCUGAAAGCAUCUAAGUGGGAAGCCCACCUCAAGAUGAGUAUUCCCAUGGCGUUAGCCAGUAAGGUCACGGGAAGAACACCCGUUGAUAGGCUCUAUGUGGAAGCGCAGUAAUGCGUGAAGCAGAGGAGUACUAAUAGACCGAGGGCUUGACCAA